UUGCCCUAGUAACGGCGAGUGAAGCGGCAAUAGCUCAGAUUUGAAAUCUGGCGUCUUCGGCGUCCGAGUUGUAAUCUGUAGAGGAUGCCUUUGGGUAGCCACCGGUCUAAGUCCCCUGGAACGGGGCGUCACAGAGGGUGAGAAUCCCGUAUGUGACCGGAAGGGCACCCUCCACAAGGCUCCUUCGACGAGUCGAGUUGUUUGGGAAUGCAGCUCUAAAUGGGAGGUAAAUUCCUUCUAAAGCUAAAUACCGGCCAGAGACCGAUAGCGCACAAGUAGAGUGAUCGAAAGAUGAAAAGCACUUUGGAAAGAGAGUUAAAAAGCACGUGAAAUUGUUGAAAGGGAAGCGCUUGCAACCAGACUUGUUGGCGGUGUUCCGCCGGUCUUCUGACCGGUCCACUCACCGUCUGCAGGCCAGCAUCAUCUGGGGCCGCCGGAUAAAAGCGAGGGGAACGUAGCUCCCCCGGGAGUGUUAUAGCCCCUCGUGCAAUACGGCGAGCCUCGGGUGAGGUCCGCGCUUCGGCUAGGAUGCUGGCGUAAUGGUCGUAAGCGGCCCGUCUUGAAACACGGACCAAGGAGUCUAACAUCUAUGCGAGUGUUCGGGUGUCAAACCCCUACGCGUAAUGAAAGUGAACGGAGGUGGGAGCCUUAGGGUGCACCAUCGACCGAUCCUGAUGUCUUCGGAUGGAUUUGAGUAAGAGCAUAGCUGUUGGGACCCGAAAGAUGGUGAACUAUGCCUGGAUAGGGUGAAGCCAGAGGAAACUCUGGUGGAGGCUCGCAGCGGUUCUGACGUGCAAAUCGAUCGUCAAAUUUGGGUAUAGGGGCGAAAGACUAAU
Molecule: ribosomal RNA, 836 nt
Filed under: Capnodium coartatum
Lineage: Eukaryota; Fungi; Ascomycota; Dothideomycetes; Capnodiales; Capnodiaceae
Description: partial large subunit ribosomal RNA
Rfam family: Eukaryotic large subunit ribosomal RNA
Source: RNAcentral